GCCCGCUUGGCUCAGUGGUAGAGCGCAUCACUAGUAAAUCUUAAUCAUCCUUAACUCUGAGUUUCAGAGGUUACUGGGUUUAUGAUGAGGUCAUCAGUUCGAUUCUGAUAGUGGGCA
Molecule: non-coding RNA, 117 nt
Organism: Echria macrotheca
Lineage: Eukaryota; Fungi; Ascomycota; Sordariomycetes; Sordariales; Schizotheciaceae
Source: the annotation of a GenBank genome assembly